Molecule: ribosomal RNA, 509 nt
Filed under: uncultured bacterium
Lineage: Bacteria
Description: bacterial SSU rRNA
Rfam family: Bacterial small subunit ribosomal RNA
Source: RNAcentral
CGAACGCUGGCGGCGUGCUUAACACAUGCAAGUCGAACGCGAAAGGGACUUCGGUCCUGAGUAAAGUGGCGCACGGGUGAGUAACGCGUAGAUAACCUGUCUUCAUGUCUGGAAUAAUACGCCGAAAGGGGUACUAAUACCGGAUAUUCUUGCUUUUCAUAAGUUAUGCAAGCAAAGGUGGCCUCUGCAUAUGCUACUGCAUGAAGAGGGGUCUGCGUACCAUUAGCUAGUAGGUGGGGUAAUGGCCUACCUAGGCGACGAUGGUUAGCGGGUCUGAGAGGAUGAUCCGCCACGCUGGCACUGGAACACGGGCCAGACUCCUACGGGAGGCAGCAGUGAGGAAUAUUGCGCAAGUGGGGGAAACCCUGACGCAGCGACGCCGCGUGAGUGAGGAAGGCCUUCGGGUCGUAAAGCUCUGUCAAGAGGAAAGAAGUGUACAAUGGCUAAUACCUGUUGUAUUUGACGGUACCUCUAAAGGAAGCACCGGCUAACUCCGUGCCAGCCGCGGC